ACUGGCAGGCUAGAGUCUUGUAGAGGGGGGUAGAAUUCCAGGUGUAGCGGUGAAAUGCGUAGAGAUCUGGAGGAAUACCGGUGGCGAAGGCGGCCCCCUGGACAAAGACUGACGCUCAGGUGCGAAAGCGUGGGGAGCAAACAGGAUUAGAUACCCUGGUAGUCCACGCCGUAAACGAUGUCGAUUUGGAGGUUGUGCCCUUGAGGCGUGGCUUCCGGAGCUAACGCGUUAAAUCGACCGCCUGGGGAGUACGGCCGCAAGGUUAAAACUCAAAUGAAUUGACGGGGGCCCGCACAAGCGGUGGAGCAUGUGGUUUAAUUCGAUGCAACGCGAAGAACCUUACCUGGUCUUGACAUCCACAGAACUUAGCAGAGAUGCUUUGGUGCCUUCGGGAACUGUGAGACAGGUGCUGCAUGGCUGUCGUCAGCUCGUGUUGUGAAAUGUUGGGUUAAGUCCCGCAACGAGCGCAACCCUUAUCCUUUGUUGCCAGCGGUCCGGCCGGGAACUCAAAGGAGACUGCCAGUGAUAAACUGGAGGAAGGUGGGGAUGACGUCAAGUCAUCAUGGCCCUUACGACCAGGGCUACACACGUGCUACAAUGGCAUAUACAAAGAGAAGCGACCUCGCGAGAGCAAGCGGACCUCAUAAAGUAUGUCGUAGUCCGGAUUGGAGUCUGCAACUCGACUCCAUGAAGUCGGAAUCGCUAGUAAUCGUAGAUCAGAAUGCUACGGUGAAUACGUUCCCGGGCCUUGUACACACCGCCCGUCACACCAUGGGAGUGGGUUGCAAAAGAAGUAGGUAGCUUAACCUUCGGGAGGGCGCUUACCACUUUGUGAUUCAUGACUGGGGUGAAGUCGUAACAAGGUAACCGUAGGGGAACCUGCGGUUGGAUCACCUCCUU
This 900-nucleotide ribosomal RNA is filed under the name Klebsiella pneumoniae. RNAcentral describes it as "bacterial SSU rRNA". It matches the Rfam family "Bacterial small subunit ribosomal RNA", at positions 632 to 1532 of the family's 1533-position model. The record is from RNAcentral. RNAcentral also lists the same sequence under 1 other name. Lineage: Bacteria; Pseudomonadati; Pseudomonadota; Gammaproteobacteria; Enterobacterales; Enterobacteriaceae.